CCUACAAUUCAUUCUAAUCAACUAUAUACAACAAACAUCUAAUUCAGAACUGGUACGAACAAGGAGAAUCCGACUGUUUAAUUAAAACAAAGCAUUGUGACGGUUCGUAAGAAUGUAGACACAAUGUGAUUUCUGCCCAGUGCUCUGAAUGUUAACGUGAAGGAAUUCAAACAAGCGCGGGUAAACGGCGGGAGUAACUAUGACUCUCUUAAGGUAGCCAAAUGCCUCGUCAUCUAAUUGGUGACGCGCACGAAUGGAUUAAUGAGAUUCUCACUGUCUCUACCCACCAUCUAGCGAAACCACAGCCAAGGGAACGGGCUUGGAAAAGAAAGCGGGGAAAGAAGACCCUGUUGAGCUUGACUCUAGUCUGCUUCUGUGAAAAGACUUUGGAGGUGUAGCGUAAGGAGGAGCUUUACGGCGAACUUGAAACACUCCUACUUCGAACGUCUUUUUACUUCGGGUGUAAAAUGAUACUGAAAGGAUGAAAGUUCUUUUAUUAUUUGAAUUCAUUGUAUUUUAUAUACAACAAUCAAUCACCCAACAAAAGCAGGUGGGGAGUUUGACUGGGGCGGUACAUCUGCGAAAAAAUAGCGCAGGUGAACCAAGGCGGGCUCAGUGAGAAGAGAAAUCUCACGUAGAGCUAAAGGGCAAAAGCCCGCUUGAUUUAGUCUUUCAGUGUGAGAACAAACGAGGAAACUGUGUCCUAUCGAUCCUUUAUGUUUUGCGGAGAACCUCCGCCUAGAGGUGCCAGAAAAGUUACCACAGGGAUAACUGGCUUGUGGCUGCCAAGCGUCCAAAGCGACGUAGCUUUUUGAUCCUUCGAUGUCGGCUCUUCUCAUCAUUCCGUUGCAGAAGGCGGAAAGUGUCAGAUUGUUCACCUGUAAAAGAGGAACGUGAGCUGGGUUUAGACCGUCGUGAGACAGGUUUGUUUUACCCUACUUUCAGAUUGAUUUCUUGACUCGACACGGAGGUAGUACGAGAGGAACUGUCCGUGGGCGCAUUUGGUUCGUGCUUUCGUUGAACAACGAGUGAGCAGAUGCUACGCGCUCUUUUGAUAAAAACUGAAGGCCUCUAAGGUUUGAAUCAGACGAGAACAUGGAAGUCUAUAUUGCUUUUGAUUUUAUCCAGAUGCAUGAAUAUUAUUUAUAAAUGCUGUGUGGAGUUAUGAAUUUGCUUUUUAAUCAGAGUAAAUUCAUAAUUCGUAUUACAUUAUGGAAGUUAGCAAUCCGCAGUGUUGAGGAGACGACUCAUUGU
RNAcentral lists this ribosomal RNA (1254 nucleotides) under metagenome. RNAcentral describes it as "eukaryotic LSU rRNA". It matches the Rfam family "Eukaryotic large subunit ribosomal RNA", at positions 2065 to 3322 of the family's 3401-position model. The record is from RNAcentral.